UGGGGAAUAUUGCACAAUGGGGGAAACCCUGAUGCAGCGACGCCGCGUGAGCGAAGAAGGUUUUCGAAUCGUAAAGCUCUGUCCUAUGAGAAGAUAAUGACGGUAUCAUAGGAGGAAGCCCCGGCUAAAUACGUGCCAGCAGCCGCGGUAAUACGUAUGGGGCGAGCGUUGUCCGGAAUUAUUGGGCGUAAAGGGUACGUAGGCGGUCUAUUAAGUCAGGUGUGAAAGCGUGAGGCUUAACCUCAUUAAGCACUUGAAACUGAUAGACUUGAGUGAAGGAGAGGAAAGUGGAAUUCCUAGUGUAGCGGUGAAAUGCGUAGAGAUUAGGAGGAACACCGGUGGCGAAAGCGGCUUGUUGGCCUGCAACUGACACUGAGGCGCGAAAGCGUGGGGAGCAAACAGG
This 403-nucleotide ribosomal RNA is filed under the name Verrucomicrobiota bacterium. RNAcentral describes it as "Verrucomicrobia bacterium partial 16S ribosomal RNA". It matches the Rfam family "Bacterial small subunit ribosomal RNA", at positions 355 to 776 of the family's 1533-position model. Lineage: Bacteria; Pseudomonadati; Verrucomicrobiota. The record is from RNAcentral.